RNAcentral lists this ribosomal RNA (623 nucleotides) under Lactococcus lactis. RNAcentral describes it as "bacterial SSU rRNA". It matches the Rfam family "Bacterial small subunit ribosomal RNA", at positions 75 to 683 of the family's 1533-position model. Lineage: Bacteria; Bacillati; Bacillota; Bacilli; Lactobacillales; Streptococcaceae. The record is from RNAcentral.
GGUACUUGUACCGACUGGAUGAGCAGCGAACGGGUGAGUAACGCGUGGGGAAUCUGCCUUUGAGCGGGGGACAACAUUUGGAAACGAAUGCUAAUACCGCAUAAAAACUUUAAACACAAGUUUUAAGUUUGAAAGAUGCAAUUGCAUCACUCAAAGAUGAUCCCGCGUUGUAUUAGCUAGUUGGUGAGGUAAAGGCUCACCAAGGCGAUGAUACAUAGCCGACCUGAGAGGGUGAUCGGCCACAUUGGGACUGAGACACGGCCCAAACUCCUACGGGAGGCAGCAGUAGGGAAUCUUCGGCAAUGGACGAAAGUCUGACCGAGCAACGCCGCGUGAGUGAAGAAGGUUUUCGGAUCGUAAAACUCUGUUGGUAGAGAAGAACGUUGGUGAGAGUGGAAAGCUCAUCAAGUGACGGUAACUACCCAGAAAGGGACGGCUAACUACGUGCCAGCAGCCGCGGUAAUACGUAGGUCCCGAGCGUUGUCCGGAUUUAUUGGGCGUAAAGCGAGCGCAGGUGGUUUAUUAAGUCUGGUGUAAAAGGCAGUGGCUCAACCAUUGUAUGCAUUGGAAACUGGUAGACUUGAGUGCAGGAGAGGAGAGUGGAAUUCCAUCGGUUAGCGGGU